ACUCCUACGGGAGGCAGCAGUGGGGAAUAUUGCACAAUGGGCGCAAGCCUGAUGCAGCCAUGCCGCGUGUGUGAAGAAGGCCUUCGGGUUGUAAAGCACUUUCAGUCGUGAGGAAGGUAGUGUAGUUAAUAGCUGCAUUAUUUGACGUUAGCGACAGAAGAAGCACCGGCCAACUACGUGCCAGCAGCCGCGGUAACACGUAGGGUGCGAGCGUUGUCCGGAAUUAUUGGGCGUAAAGAGCUCGUAGGCGGUGUGUCGCGUCGGCCGUGAAAACUUGGGGCUUAACUCUGAGCGUGCGGUCGAUACGGGCAUCACUUGAGUUCGGCAGGGGAGACUGGAAUUCCUGGUGUAGCGGUGAAAUGCGCAGAUAUCAGGAGGAACACCGGUGGCGAAGGCGGGUCUCUGGGCCGAUACUGACGCUGAGGAGCGAAAGCAUGGGGAGCGAACAGGAUUAGAUACCCUGGUAGGCUCUG
This 473-nucleotide ribosomal RNA is filed under the name uncultured bacterium. RNAcentral describes it as "bacterial SSU rRNA". It matches the Rfam family "Bacterial small subunit ribosomal RNA", at positions 335 to 799 of the family's 1533-position model. The record is from RNAcentral.